GAUGAACGCUGGCGGCGUGCCUAAUACAUGCAAGUCGAACGAAACUUCUUUAUCACCGAGUGCUUGCACUCACCGAUAAAGAGUUGAGUGGCGAACGGGUGAGUAACACGUGGGCAACCUGCCCAAAAGAGGGGGAUAACACUUGGAAACAGGUGCUAAUACCGCAUAACCAUAGUUACCGCAUGGUAACUAUGUACAAGGUGGCUAUACUACCGCUUUUGGAUGGGCCCGCGGCGCAUUAGCUAGUUGGUAGGGUAAAGGCUUACCAAGGCAAUGAUGCGUAGCCGAAUUGAGAGGUUGAUCGGCCACAUUGGGACUGAGACACGGCCCAAACUCCUACGGGAGGCAGCAGUAGGGAAUAUUCCACAAUGGGCGAAAGCCUGAUGGAGCAACGCCGCGUGGGUGAAGAAGGUCUUCGGAUCGUAAAACCCUGUUGUUAGAGAAGAAAGUGCGUGAGAGUAACUGUUCACGUUUCGACGGUAUCUAACCAGAAAGCCACGGCUAACUACGUG
Molecule: ribosomal RNA, 512 nt
Filed under: uncultured bacterium
Lineage: Bacteria
Description: partial 16S ribosomal RNA
Rfam family: Bacterial small subunit ribosomal RNA
Source: RNAcentral